Molecule: ribosomal RNA, 301 nt
Filed under: Palaemon xiphias
Lineage: Eukaryota; Metazoa; Arthropoda; Malacostraca; Decapoda; Palaemonidae
Description: partial 16S ribosomal RNA
Source: RNAcentral
CUAUUAAUUGAAGGCUUCUAUGAACGGUUGGGUGAAAGAGAAGCUCUCUUUUACGGUUUAGAAUUUGACUUUUAAGUGAAAAGGCUUAAAUUAGUUAAGGGGAUGAUAAGACCCUAUAAAACUUUAUAUGUGUUCUGCUUUAUCUUUAAAUUAUAAUUGAAUAUUGUGAAGCAUUAUACAUAUUUCGUUGGGGAGACGUCGAUAUAAAUUGUAACAGUCUGAAGAAAAAUAAUUAUCAUUAUGCUUCGUUCCUUAUCUGUUGAUGAAAACAAUAAGUAUUUUUUUUAUUGAUAAUAGCGUA